This 536-nucleotide ribosomal RNA is filed under the name uncultured bacterium. RNAcentral's name for it is "bacterial SSU rRNA". It matches the Rfam family "Bacterial small subunit ribosomal RNA", at positions 1 to 522 of the family's 1533-position model. The record is from RNAcentral.
UGACCAUGAAUACGUAGAGUUUGAUCAUGGCUCAGAUUGAACGCUGGCGGCAUGCUUUACACAUGCAAGUCGAGCGGCAGCGCGGGGGCAACCCUGGCGGCGAGCGGCGAACGGGUGAGUAACGCAUCGGAACGUAUCCCGUAGAGGGGGAUAGCCCGGCGAAAGCCGGAUUAAUACCGCAUAUGCUCUACGGAGGAAAGCGGGGGACCUGUGAGGGCCUCGCGCUAUGGGAGCGGCCGAUGGCCGAUUAGCUAGUUGGUGGGGUAAAGGCCUACCAAGGCGACGAUCGGUAGCUGGUCUGAGAGGAUGAUCAGCCACACUGGGACUGAGACACGGCCCAGACUCCUACGGGAGGCAGCAGUGGGGAAUUUUGGACAAUGGGGGCAACCCUGAUCCAGCAAUGCCGCGUGUGUGAAGAAGGCCUUCGGGUUGUAAAGCACUUUUAUCGGGAAAGAAACGCGCGAGGCUAAUACUCUCGCGAACUGACGGUACCCGAUGAAUAAGCACCGGCUAACUCCGUGCCAGCAGCCGCGGUA